GUGGGGAAUAUUGGACAAUGGGCGCAAGCCUGAUCCAGCCAUGCCGCGUGAGUGAUGAGGGCCUUAGGGUUGUAAAGCUCUUUCAGUGGGGACGAUAAUGACGGUACCCACAGAAGAAGCCCCGGCUAACUUCGUGCCAGCAGCCGCGGUAAUACGAAGGGGGCUAGCGUUGUUCGGAUUUACUGGGCGUAAAGCGCACGUAGGCGGAUCGUUAAGUCGGGGGUGAAAUCCUGGAGCUCAACUCCAGAACUGCCUUCGAUACUGGCGAUCUUGAGUCCGGAAGAGGUGAGUGGAACUCCUAGUGUAGAGGUGGAAUUCGUAGAUAUUAGGAAGAACACCAGUGGCGAAGGCGGCUCACUGGUCCGGUACUGACGCUGAGGUGCGAAAGCGUGGGGAGCAAACAGGAUUAGAUACCCGAGUAGUCC
RNAcentral lists this ribosomal RNA (425 nucleotides) under uncultured bacterium. RNAcentral describes it as "bacterial SSU rRNA". It matches the Rfam family "Bacterial small subunit ribosomal RNA", at positions 354 to 796 of the family's 1533-position model. The record is from RNAcentral.